GCAAGUCGAGCGCGCCCUUCGGGGUGAGCGGCGGACGGGUGAGUAACGCGUGGGAAUAUGCCCUUCUCUAAGGAAUAGCCUCUGGAAACGGAGAGUAAUACCUUAUACGCCCUUAGGGGGAAAGAUUUAUCGGGGAAGGAUUAGACCGCGUUGGAUUAGGUAGUUGGUGGGGUAAUGGCCUACCAAGCCGACGAUCCAUAGCUGGUUUGAGAGGAUGAUC
This 220-nucleotide ribosomal RNA is filed under the name uncultured bacterium. RNAcentral describes it as "partial 16S ribosomal RNA". It matches the Rfam family "Bacterial small subunit ribosomal RNA", at positions 57 to 305 of the family's 1533-position model. The record is from RNAcentral.